GUAGGUGGCAAGCGUUGUCCGGAAUUAUUGGGCGUAAAGCGCGCGCAGGUGGUUCUUUAAGUCUGAUGUGAAAGCCCCCCGGGCUCAACCCGGGGGAGGGUCAUUGGAAACUGGGGAACUUGAGUGCAGGAGAGGAAAGUGGAAUUCCGCGUGUAGCGGUGAAAUGCGUAGAUAUGUGGAGGAACACCAGUGGCGAAGGCGACUUUCUGGCCUGUAACUGACACUGAGGCGCGAAAGCGUGGGGAGCAAACAGGAUUAGAUACCCUGGUAGUCCACGCUGUAAACGAUGAGUGCUAAGUGUUGGGGGGUUUCCGCCCCUCAGUGCUGCAGCUAACGCAUUAAGCACUCCGCCUGGGGAGUACGGUCGCAAGACUG
RNAcentral lists this ribosomal RNA (375 nucleotides) under uncultured organism. Its description in RNAcentral is "partial 16S ribosomal RNA". It matches the Rfam family "Bacterial small subunit ribosomal RNA", at positions 527 to 896 of the family's 1533-position model. The record is from RNAcentral.